RNAcentral lists this ribosomal RNA (427 nucleotides) under uncultured bacterium. RNAcentral describes it as "bacterial SSU rRNA". It matches the Rfam family "Bacterial small subunit ribosomal RNA", at positions 56 to 507 of the family's 1533-position model. The record is from RNAcentral.
UGCAAGUCGAACGGAACUUCGGUUCAGUGGCGAACGGCGGAGUAAUACAUGAGCAACGUCGCCCCUAUGACUGGGAUAUACAGAGGAAACUCUGGGCAAUACCGGAUGUGGCUAUUCCUUGGCAUCUUGGAAUAACUAAACGGUAUUUAUUCGCAUAGGGAGCGGCUCAUCGACCCAUCAGGUAGUUGGUAGGGUAAUGGCCUACCAAGCCGACGACGGGUAGCGGGUCUGAGAGGAUGAUCCGCCCGAGUGGGACUGAGACACGGCCCACACACCUACGGGUGGCAGCAGUUGGGAAUCUUGCACAAUGGGGGAAACCCUGAUGCAGCGACGCCGCGUGGACGAUGAAGGGUUUAGGCCUGUAAAGUCCUUUUACCAGGAAAGACUUAGGACGGUACCUGGUGAAUAAGCUCCGGCUAACUACGUG